This 588-nucleotide ribosomal RNA is filed under the name Mantidactylus catalai. Its description in RNAcentral is "partial 16S ribosomal RNA". The stretch from base 1 to 409 matches the Rfam family "Bacterial large subunit ribosomal RNA", at positions 701 to 1300 of the family's 2925-position model. Lineage: Eukaryota; Metazoa; Chordata; Amphibia; Anura; Mantellidae. The record is from RNAcentral.
UUUAGUUUGAGCCCCCGAAACUAAGUGAGCUACUUCGGAAUAGUACCAAGAACAAACCCGUCUCUGUUGCAAAAGAGUGGGAUAAUUCCUAAGUAGAGGCGACAAACCUACCGCACCUAGAGAUAGCUGGUUAUUCAAGAAAAGAAUUUAAGUUCAACCUUAAGUUUAUACAUUAAACAAAAAAUACAAAACUUUAGAGCUAUUCAAAUAAGGCACAGCUUAUUUGAAACAGAAUACAACCUACAACACAGGGUAAAAUAUAACAAACAAGUAACAAGUGGGCCUAAAAGCAGCCACCUUUAAAAAAGCGUCAAAGCUUAAUAUCUACUUUAUUCUAAUUCCUCCCCCCUUCACUAACCCUUCACCCAUAUUGAGUAACUCCAUAAAUUUAUGGAAAUUAUUAUGCUAGAACUAGUAACAAGAAAUAGAUUUUCUCCUAAAUGUAAGCUUAAGCCACAAUAGACAAACUAUUGGCAAUUAACAUAAAUGAACAUUUUACAGCAACCCCAACAAGAAAACCCUGUAUUCAACAACGUUACCCUUACACCAGAACAUUUAAGGAAAGAUUAAAAGAAAAAGAAGGAACUC